RNAcentral lists this ribosomal RNA (254 nucleotides) under uncultured bacterium. RNAcentral's name for it is "partial 16S ribosomal RNA". It matches the Rfam family "Bacterial small subunit ribosomal RNA", at positions 524 to 776 of the family's 1533-position model. The record is from RNAcentral.
UACGUAGGUGGCAAGCGUUGUUCGGAAUUAUUGGGCGUAAAGAGCUCGUAGGCGGUCUGUCGCGUCGGUCGUGAAAACUUGGGGCUUAACCCUGAGCUUGCGGUCGAUACGGGCAUGACUGGAGUUCGGUAGGGGAGACUGGAAUUCCUGGUGUAGCGGUGAAAUGCGCAGAUAUCAGGAGGAACACCGGUGGCGAAGGCGGGUCUCUGGGCCGAUACUGACGCUGAGGAGCGAAAGCGUGGGGAGCGAACAGG